This 908-nucleotide ribosomal RNA is filed under the name uncultured eukaryote. Its description in RNAcentral is "SSU rRNA". It matches the Rfam family "Eukaryotic small subunit ribosomal RNA", at positions 41 to 956 of the family's 1831-position model. The record is from RNAcentral.
AGAUUAGCCAUGCAUGUCUAAGUAAAAACAACUUUACUGUGAAACUGCGAAUGGCUCAUUAUAUCAGUUAUAGUUUACUUGAUAGUACCUUACUACUUGGAUAACCGUAGUAAUUCUAGAGCUAAUACAUGCAUCAACUCCCAACUUCUGGACGGGACGCGUUUAUUAGAUAGAAACCAAUGCUCUUCGGAGGUUUUGUGGUGAUUCAUAAUAACUGUGCGAAUCGCAUGCGUCAGCGGCGAUGAAUCAAUCAAGUUUCUGCCCUAUCAGCUUUCGAUGGNAGGGUAUUGGCCUACCAUGGCGUUAACGGGUGACGGAGAAUUAGGGUUCGAUUCCGGAGAGGGAGCCUGAGAAACGGCUACCACAUCCNAGGAAGGCAGCAGGCGCGUAAAUUACCCAAUCCUGACACAGGGAGGUAGUGACAAUAAAUAACAAUGCCGGGCUUUUUCAAGNCUGGCAAUUGGAAUGAGAACAAUUUAAAUCCCUUAACGAGGAUCANUUGGAGGGCAAGUCUGGUGCCAGCAGCCGCGGUAAUUCCAGCUCCAAUAGCGUAUAUNAAAGUUGUUGCAGUUAANAAGCUCGUAGUUGGAUUUCUGGCUGGAGCGAUCGGUCCGCCCCGCNNGGGGUGUGUACUAGCGUCGUCUCCGACCAUCCUUGUGGGAACUGUGCGGCCGUUAACUCGGUUGUAUAUGGNAACACAUCGUUUACUGUGAAAAAAUUAGAGUGUUUAAAGCANGCUUAAGCCGNUGAAUACAUUAGNAUGGAAUAAUAAGAUAANACUUGCGUCAUUAUGUUGNUGGUUUGCGGAUCGAGGUAAUGAUUAAUAGGGAUAGUUGGGGGUAUUCAUAUNUAAUUGUNAGAGGNGAAAUUCUUGGAUUUAUGAAAGAUGAACUUAGGCGAAAGCAUUU